GAUGAACGCUGGCGGCGUGCCUAAUACAUGCAAGUCGAGCGAACAGACGAGGAGCUUGCUCCUCUGACGUUAGCGGCGGACGGGUGAGUAACACGUGGAUAACCUCCCUAUCAGACUGGGAUAACUUCGGGAAACCGGAGCUCAUACCGGAUAAUAUAUUGAACCGCAUGGUUCAAUAGUGAAAGACGGUUUUGCUGUCACUUAUAGAUGGAUCCGCGCCGCAUUAGCUAGUUGGUAAGGUAACGGCUUACCAAGGCAACGAUGAGUAGCCGACCUGAGAGGGUGAUCGGCCACACUGGAACUGAGACACGGUCCAGACUCCUACGGGAGGCAGCAGUAGGGAAUCUUCCGCAAUGGGCGAAAGCCUGACGGAGCAACGCCGCGUGAGUGAUGAAGGUCUUCGGAUCGUAAAACUCUGUUAUUAGGGAAGAACAAAUGUGUAAGUAACUAUGCACGUCUUGACGGUACCUAAUCAGAAAGCCACGGCUAACUACGUG
Molecule: ribosomal RNA, 497 nt
Filed under: uncultured bacterium
Lineage: Bacteria
Description: partial 16S ribosomal RNA
Rfam family: Bacterial small subunit ribosomal RNA
Source: RNAcentral